RNAcentral lists this transfer RNA (76 nucleotides) under Deltaproteobacteria bacterium. Its description in RNAcentral is "tRNA-Thr". It matches the Rfam family "tRNA". From Rfam's summary of the family: Transfer RNA (tRNA) molecules are approximately 80 nucleotides in length. Their secondary structure includes four short double-helical elements and three loops (D, anti-codon, and T loops). The record is from RNAcentral. Lineage: Bacteria; Pseudomonadati; Myxococcota; Myxococcia. RNAcentral also lists the same sequence under 2 other names.
GCCCACGUAGCUCAGUCGGUAGAGCACAUCCUUGGUAAGGAUGAGGUCACCAGUUCAAUUCUGGUCGUGGGCUCCA